This 395-nucleotide unclassified non-coding RNA is filed under the name Hevea brasiliensis (rubber tree). Lineage: Eukaryota; Viridiplantae; Streptophyta; Magnoliopsida; Malpighiales; Euphorbiaceae. The record is from RNAcentral.
AUCAUCUAUUUGUAAUAUAACUAGAUGGGAUUUGGUGGAUGGUUUUCAUAUUUGAGCAUGGCUUCUUUUUUUUUAUAUAUAUAUAAAUUGGAUAAUGUUUGUGUUGAAAUCUUUACAACAUGUUAACUUUUGGGCGUUCAUCAGUAAUUGAGAUUUUUGCUUUAUCGUUAUGGUGUUUCUGUAGUGAUUUUGCCACCGCCUGUUAUUGAGUAGCAACAGUAGUGCACAGGAUUCUUGUUUCAAUUUUAGUAGGAUUAUAUUUUGCUUUGUGGAGUUUCCUCUGUUCCUCCCAGACCUAUGCUGCCAUUAUGAAUUGAAUUCUUUUUUCACCACAUAACUCUCGUUUGGACUUAAACUUGACAUAUUUUGAUCAGGAUUUAAUGUGGAGACUGUGG